This is an RNA transcript of Carassius carassius (crucian carp), 1808 nucleotides long. It is a transcript of the gene named thialysine N-epsilon-acetyltransferase-like, with no coding region annotated. The record is from RefSeq and is a predicted model, not a curated record. The transcript is spliced from 7 exons. Lineage: Eukaryota; Metazoa; Chordata; Actinopteri; Cypriniformes; Cyprinidae.
UUAGCACUUUCUAUAAGCGCCGCGUGAGAGUCAGAGCCACAUGAACUCAUCACUUCCGUAUGUCCAUUUCAUAGUCCACGUCGACAAACACUCUUGAUUAUUUAUUUUACUUUACUUUUCUUUGUUUUGCUCCGUUUGAUAUUAGCCUAUUGAACACAGGAUGGGAUUCACAAUCCGGGCCGCCACGCUCGAGGACUGUAAGGACAUCUCACGCAUGAUACUGGAACUGGCAGAGUAUGAGAAGGUUUCUGACCAGAUCAAGAUUGCACAAAGAGAUCUGGAGCAGGAUGGAUUCUCUAAAAACCCUUUUUUCCAUGGAAUCAUUGCUGAAGUGCCAGAGGACCUUAAGUCCAAAGAGGGUCAUACCAAGGUUGGUUACGCUCUGUACUUCUACACAUACAGUUCAUGGAAAGGUCGGGCGGUGUACAUGGAGGAUCUGUAUGUAAUGCCAGAGUUCAGAGGGAAAGGCAUUGGCAAGGCUCUGAUGUCCAAAGUGUCCCAGCUUGGUCUGGCUGCUGGUUGCACCCAGCUGAAUUUCACUGUACUGGACUGGAACAAAUCAUCUCUUGACUUCUACCUAAAGCAGGGCUGCUGGGAUGUGACCUCUGACCUCGGCUAUCACUGCAUGCGCUGUGAGGGCAUUGCCCUUGAACACUUGGCCCAGGGGGACCUUUAAAUUCUGAAGCACAUAGAUUUCCCUGUCAAACCCUGAACCAGAGCCACAAGUAACAAGUUGUUUGAUAAACACAGGAAGACAGUAAACUGACAGUUAAAUGGGAAAAUUUAACAAGUAACCAUGCUCAUAUCCUAUAUACAUUUUCUAAAAUAAACGCAACUUUAUGAGACUAUAUUGAUCAGCAAUAUUACUGAGAACAGCAGACAGAAAAUGCUGCUUAGUUAGGUUGCCUCAAAAAGAACAUUUGAUUCAUUCUACAUAAUUAAAUUGUGAAGUCUGACAUAUCCAAAGAUUCAGAAGUGCACUGUGAAUCACAUAUAUAUUGGGCAUAUUAUGACAUAAUCAUUUUUCUACUAGUGGAAAGAGUGGAAGUGAAAUUGUUACAGUUGGUGCUGAACCAUCAUUUGUAUCUAGAAUUUAGAACAGUUCUAUUUAAAAAGCCAUUUUAUUUUUUGUUACGUGUCAUUUUAUUUUUACAUUUGAAUAUCUGUUUGAACAUCUACUCGGUCUCGCUCACAAAUCCGUUUGAUCUGAAAUUAUGUAUGUCAAGUGAUGUUCUUAAAAUAUGUUGUAAUAUAUAAAGAACUGCUUGGUACACAAGAGACCUCCUCGAUUCUGCAAGAUGAAGAUGUGUCUGUUUACGCUGUACAUUCACAGAUGCGAGCCACAUACUUUUCUCAACUAACUUUUGGUAACUGUUACCAGUCAUAAGAGAGAAUAAGCUCACUACGAAAAAUGCACUACAGAUGUUUAUUAGAUAAAUCCUAUAUACUAUUGGUGAGUGAAACCAUGAUUGGAUUUUGCUUUUCUAAAUUGUUUACUUUGCCUUGUACAUGAUUUUUUUUGGGCAUUUUGCAUUGUGGAUUUUAGCAACCAGAUAUUUUAUGUGAAUUGCCAAAAGGUCUUUGACAAAAAAGUCUUGUGCUGUUACUGAAUACAUAAUAAUCGUGAACAACAUACAACCCAUAAUAAGUAAUUGGUAAAAAAAAAAAAAAAUGUAGUAGCACUUAAGAGAAGCUUGGUGUAGCCUCAUUGUGAAGAUGAUGGCAACGUUACAUUGUUACAAGCUGCUGUAUCCAAUGUACUGUACAGUCUGUUCUAUUGGCCAUUGAUUAAAGCACAUUUGCCCAUG